GCUCGUGUAGCUCAGUGGUUAGAGCUUCGUGCUUAUAGCACACUCCUUAAAAAGGAGCAUCCUAUGCCUAUGAUCUUUAAAUCUAGAUCGGUAAAGCAACGCGACCGUCGUGGGUUCAAACCCCACCUCGAGCA
RNAcentral lists this transfer RNA (134 nucleotides) under Maudiozyma saulgeensis. Its description in RNAcentral is "Kazachstania saulgeensis tRNA". It matches the Rfam family "tRNA". Rfam says of the family: Transfer RNA (tRNA) molecules are approximately 80 nucleotides in length. Lineage: Eukaryota; Fungi; Ascomycota; Saccharomycetes; Saccharomycetales; Saccharomycetaceae. The record is from Rfam by way of RNAcentral.